Flavobacteriaceae bacterium JJC is the source of this 127-nucleotide non-coding RNA. NCBI's taxonomy places the organism in Bacteria, Pseudomonadati, Bacteroidota, Flavobacteriia, Flavobacteriales, Flavobacteriaceae. The record is from Rfam.
ACAUUUCUAUAUUUGUCCCAAUGAAAACGAUUAACAAUACAAACUGGUGGUGGCCUCAAAACUUUCAAAGUCUUGAGCACUGUUCUUUUGUGUAAAUAUAUCCCAACAAAAAAAUAAGAAGACUUUG